ACUAUUUACCCCUAAAAAAGGGAUUUGGCUGCUAACCAAAAGGUUGGUGGUUCAAAUCCACCAGCUACUC
RNAcentral lists this transfer RNA (70 nucleotides) under Loxodonta africana (African savanna elephant). It matches the Rfam family "tRNA". Rfam says of the family: Transfer RNA (tRNA) molecules are approximately 80 nucleotides in length. Their secondary structure includes four short double-helical elements and three loops (D, anti-codon, and T loops). Lineage: Eukaryota; Metazoa; Chordata; Mammalia; Proboscidea; Elephantidae. The record is from Rfam by way of RNAcentral.